GCCUUCUUGGCUUAGUGGUAAAGCGUAUCACUAGUACUACUUCACAGUGCAAUGAUAAGAUCGCUAGUUCGAUUCUGGCAGAAGGCA
Molecule: transfer RNA, 87 nt
Filed under: Epicoccum nigrum
Lineage: Eukaryota; Fungi; Ascomycota; Dothideomycetes; Pleosporales; Didymellaceae
Rfam family: tRNA
About the family: Transfer RNA (tRNA) molecules are approximately 80 nucleotides in length. Their secondary structure includes four short double-helical elements and three loops (D, anti-codon, and T loops).
Source: Rfam by way of RNAcentral